This is a non-coding RNA of Danio rerio (zebrafish), 82 nucleotides long. The record is from Rfam. NCBI's taxonomy places the organism in Eukaryota, Metazoa, Chordata, Actinopteri, Cypriniformes, Danionidae.
AGUAGUGUGGCCGAGGGGUCUAAGGCGCUGGAUUUAGGCUCCAGUCUCUUGGGCGGCGUGGAUUCGAAUCCCACCGCUGCCA